AUUGAACGCUGGCGGCAUGCCUUACACAUGCAAGUCGAACGGCAGCACGGGAGCAAUCCUGGUGGCGAGUGGCGAACGGGUGAGUAAUAUAUCGGAACGUGCCCAGUAGUGGGGGAUAGCCCGGCGAAAGCCGGAUUAAUACCGCAUGCGACCUGAGGGUGAAAGCGGGGGAUCGCAAGACCUCGCGCUAUUGGAGCGGCCGAUAUCAGAUUAGCUAGUUGGUGGGGUAAAGGCCUACCAAGGCUACGAUCUGUAGUUGGUCUGAGAGGACGACCAGCCACACUGGGACUGAGACACGGCCCAGACUCCUACGGGAGGCAGCAGUGGGGAAUUUUGGACAAUGGGCGCAAGCCUGAUCCAGCAAUGCCGCGUGCAGGAAGAAGGCCUUCGGGUUGUAACGUAGCUUUUGUUCUAGGGAAGGAAAGUACUUACUUGGGCGUAAUACCCCGGGACGGAGUGACGGUACCGUCGAAGAAUAAG
This 480-nucleotide ribosomal RNA is filed under the name uncultured bacterium. RNAcentral's name for it is "bacterial SSU rRNA". It matches the Rfam family "Bacterial small subunit ribosomal RNA", at positions 29 to 492 of the family's 1533-position model. The record is from RNAcentral.